Molecule: long non-coding RNA, 3673 nt
Organism: Mobula hypostoma (lesser devil ray)
Lineage: Eukaryota; Metazoa; Chordata; Chondrichthyes; Myliobatiformes; Myliobatidae
Exons: 5
Source: RefSeq, a predicted model, not a curated record
CCUUUCUGAUAAUAAGCCUCCCAGGCCGGUUCAAAGUACAUUGCUUUUGUUCACAUUAAGAGAAACACUCACAGAAAGGGGAACUAGACUCGACUUGCUCUGCUUGAAGCUCUGUUACGUUCUACAUUUUAUUCUUGGGAAUUCUUCACGAAAAGAUCAAGGAUUCAUGUCGGAUUCAGGUGGUCAACAUGGACGGGGUUGGUCGAAGGGCCUGGUUUCUUGCUGCAUCUCUCGAUGACUCUACUUCGGAAUAAUCAGGAGAUUUUGAUGGAUUAUACAAAAUUCUGGCAGACUGGAUGCAGGGACGCUUCCCCAGUCUGGGAUUGAGAGGAGGGGACAUGAUUUUCAGCACCACAGACCAAAGACACCGGUACGCAGUACAGCACCUGGGACUGAGAGUGAGUUUCCAAAGAGAUCACCAGCUCGUAACCCAGUACGGAUGGAAAGACGGCUGGCUGGAUUCGAACUCAGGACCUUUCGUCCCGAAGUCCGACGCUGAUGCCACUACGCCACCCAAUGUGGAAAAACUGUUAAGUCAUCUGGUCUGGCGGAAAGGGAUGGCAUGGCAAUGUCUCUGGAGAUGGAUUUAGAAGGAAAUCUGCCCUCAACUGCUGAAAUCCAUUACACAAGCCGUAUAUACAGUAUAUAAUCCCCUUACCACACACCCCAACUAUUCCCGGCACGCAAUGACGUGGCAUAUUCACUGUAAGAGGUUACCACAUCCAGAGUUCUGCAACACAGCUAGCACAACAGUAUCUCUUCCAUCUCAGGCAACUGAAGAAGUUCAGCAUGAGCCCCCAGAUCCUCAAGACCUUCUACAGUGGCACCAUUGAGAGCAACCUGACUGGCUGGAUCACUGCCUGGUACGGGAACUGCACCAACCUUGAUCGCUGGGCACUGUAGAGAGUAGUAUGGACAGCCCAGCACCUCUGUGGAUGUGAACUUCCCUCCACUGAGGACAUUUACAGGAAUAGGUAUGUAAAGAAGGCCUGGAAGAUCAUCGGGGACACCAGUCACCCCAACCAUAAGCUGUUUCAGCUGCUUCCGUCUGGCAAACGGGACCACAGCAUUAAAGCCAGGACCAACAGGCUAUGGGACAGCUUCUUUCUACAAGCCAUUAGACUUUUAAAUUCAUGUGUCUGUACAUUGCGAGAGAGUCAUAACACAAAGAUUUUUUACUCCCUGACGUUGUGGGACAGACGUAAGAUUUAAAUAAGUUCAAAUUCAAAUUGGUAUCAUUCCAAAGUCACUACACCAUAGUAUUAAACAAUUAGGCCUACACAGCAAUAUCUUUGUAAAUCUCAAGAAAGCCACAAUACUAAACACCACUAGAGUAGUGUGAAAGUUCCCAGUAAUUGAGAAAUGAGUGUGCUUGGUUUUGCCUGUAUCUCAGGUUUUACCAGCUUGAGCUGAGAGAGAUAAUAAAUAAAUAAAUGGUGCUGAAAACAUAGAAAACCUAGAGCACAAUACAGGCCCUUCGGCCCACAAUGUUGUGCCGAACAUGUACUUACUUUAGAAAUUACCUCUGUUUACCCAUUGCCCUCUAAUUUUCUAAGGUCCAUGUACCUAUCCAGGAGUCUCUUAAAAGACCCUAUUGUAUCUGCCUCCACCACCGUCGCCAGCAGCCCAUUCCACACACUCACCACCCUUUGAGUAAAAGGCUUACCCCUGACAUCUCCUCUGUACCUACUUCCAAGCACCUUAAAAUUGUGCCCUCUCAGGUUAGCCAUUACAGACCUGGGAAGAAAACCUUUGACUAUCCACGUGGUCAGUGCCUCUCAUCAUCUUAUAACAUGUGAGAACAUCAUCUGAGAACAGACAUCCCACCUCUCCCGGAAGUUCUGGGAGUCUCCCACAAAUUGAUGGUGCUACCUCCCUGAAAUGAGUUUUUGCAGGGUGGGAUGUCUGUGAGAACAUGUGUUGUAGAAUCCUUGAAAGUGAGUUGGGAAGUUGUGUUCAGUGUUAACCAUUCUGAAUUUCCCUCAUUCACAGGUUUUUCUCUUGAUUUUCUCAGGGUGUGGGAGACAAAAGGAGAUCAAGAUGCAGAAGAAGGUGAUUCCUCCUUUGUGCCUUCUCUGUUAUUCUGUAACUAUCACAGUUAAUCUUUUAAUUCAGUGCAACUUUUCUCUCCUAACCUCAUAUUAAUUGAUUCCCUUUGCAUCUAAACAUCAAUUGAUCUCUAUCCUGAAUAUACUCAACACUCUGGGUAAAGAAAUUUCUCCUCAUAUCUGUUCUGAAUAGGUUGAGACUGUGACACCAGAAUCUGGAAAUCCCAGCCAGAGGAAAGAUUAACCUCGAACAGCCCUGUGAAAAAUUCAAUCAGGUCACUGCUCCUUCUUCUAAAUUCAUGAGGAUAUAGGGCCAAUCUACUCACUGGAAUUCAGAAGAAUGAGAGGAGAUCUUAUAGGAACAUAUAACAUUAUGAAAGGGACAGAUAAGAUAGAGGCAGCAAAGUUGUUUCCACUGGUAGGUGAGACUAGAACUAGGGGACAUGGCCUCAAGAUUCAGGGGAGUAGAUUUAGGACGGAGAUGAGGAGGAACUGCUUUUCCCAGAGAGUGGUGAAUCUGUGGAAUUCUCUGCCCAAUGAUACUUCAGUAAAUAUAUUUAAGAUAGGGAAUUAAGAGUUAUGGGGAAAAGGCAGGUAGAUGGAGAUGAGUCCAUGGCCAGAUCAGCCAUGAUCUUAUUGAAUGGCGGGGCGGGCUCGAUGGGCCAGAUGGCCGACUCCUGCUCCUAUUUCUUAUGUUCUUAUGUUCAAUCUGCCUUUUCGGUCUGGAUAUGAGAAAUCAGCUCAGGAAUCAAUAUGGAACACCUUGGCUGCAUCCUUCUACAGCAAAUAUAUCCUCCCUUAGGAAGGGAGAAUAGACCCAAACACAAUAUUCCAGACACAGUCUUACCGGCAACCUAAAUACUUGCACAAAGAUAUCUCUGCUCUUGUACUCAAAUCCUUAUGUAAUAAUGAUCAACACAUUCAGCUCUCUCUGAAUACCAACACCUUUCAAUCUUCUCCUCCUGAAAAAUAUUUCUCCGUGCUUGGCUGGAGGCUGCCUUCCCGAGGUCAAGCAGUGGAAUGACAGGCUCAAUUGUAUGUGCCUGUGCAUUGCUGGGAGACUGUACCAUUGACUGCAGGACAUGUCGUUAAGGUUCUUGUGUGUGUGUGUAUAUAUAUAUAUAUAUAUAUAUAUAUAUAUACACACACACACACAUACAUAUAUAUAUAUAAAUUUAUUUAUUUAAGUGGAUAUGCUUCAUUGCUCACUAUUUUGAAUAUUUGCUUGCUAUUUAGAAUAAGCUUUUUUGUACGUUUUGCACCUUGGUCCCAGGGGAACACUGUCUCAUUCGGCUGUAUCCAUGUAUAGUUGAAUGAUAAUUAAACUUGACUUGAUUUGAUAUUGCUGUCAGGAUUUUAAGUGCUCCUUUGUGAUGGAAUGCUGUACUUUUGGGAAGAACUGGGAGCAUUCAAAUUUCCAGUUCUGGCGAAGGAUCUACAAUCUCUCUUUGUAUUAUACACGCCAGCAGUCCUGUUGUAUGACUCUGGCAAUUUAAUUUAGCCUAAUUAAUGCAUUCCUCGAAGAGGACCACAACAUUGUUGUGAACACAAAAUAACCUGCAGAUGCUGGGAUCAAAGCAACACUCACAACAUGCUGGAGGAACUCAGCAGGUCGGGCAGCAUCU